This 105-nucleotide small nuclear RNA is filed under the name Mus caroli (Ryukyu mouse). The record is from RNAcentral. Lineage: Eukaryota; Metazoa; Chordata; Mammalia; Rodentia; Muridae.
GUGCUUGCUUCGGCAACACAUACUAAAAUUAGAACGAUACAGAGAAGAUUAGCAUGGCCCCUGCACAAGGAUGACAUGCAAAUUCAUGAAGCGUUCCAUAUUUAA